Gasterosteus aculeatus aculeatus (three-spined stickleback) is the source of this 4382-nucleotide long non-coding RNA. The record is from Ensembl. NCBI's taxonomy places the organism in Eukaryota, Metazoa, Chordata, Actinopteri, Perciformes, Gasterosteidae.
AAAAGGCAGGCGGCAAAAUGCAUCGCAACAAAUACUGUCGUCGAGAAGUAAAGUCUGUUACUUAUUGCUUCACACAGCGGCUGCACCGUCAACAACUGUCCCUGUUGGACACAUCCACAGACCUGCAGAAACGUUUGAGAGGUCAGAGGUCAUAGGAUUCAUAAUCAAGUGCUACAUUCUCAGAGCCGCAGGUGAUGUUGAGGAAUCGUAUUUCAGUAAAAACUGUUGCACGAUUGAUGCAGUCAGUUGUCUCUUGUAUGUGAAUCUUUGGACGUUUUUUUCUUUGUCUUUGAUUUGUUUUUAUGCUUAAAGCUCUUAAUCUCCCCACUUUGGCAUCACAAUAUCGAUGCUUGGAUAAAUCAAUAACUGGCAGUAGAACAAUGCUCCACUCUGAUGAUAACGUGUUACUCGGGUCGCUCGGCGCUCUGCUCUCCGUGGAUCCGCGGGCGUGGACGUGUUACGCAUGAUCGUCAUGCAAUAAGUCGCUCCUCCUCUUUAGAAUCUGUAGUUUGUGCGUGAGCUGACGUCCAUGUUUAUGCAAACUGGCAAUAUCCCUUUUCCCUGUUGUGCUUUAGCGUCUGCUUCAGUAAAUCUAGAGGCCUGCGAUCAGCUGCCGUCAUGAUGAGAGGUAACAACUCUGAGUCCGUGCACCUGCGCUGUCUUCCUCGGAGAGGACUGCUGCUGAGUCACGGCGAGCAGGAAACGAUCCGCCGCGGACGUGGGAAGAUGUUCCCGGUUGUUCCUCUGAGCGGCAACAUCAAACCGGGAGGCUUCGUAACAGGAUUAGCUUUGUCAUCUGCACUUAUUCAUGGAGGAGCCCUGCACUGUAAUAAGGUGCAUUGAUUCAGUUACACACGUGCGCACACGCACACGCCUGCCUGUAACCAAACAUCACGGUCUAUUUAAAAAAGGCUGAAGCAACGGAUUCACCAGAUUAAAUGACCUCUGCCCCCGCUUUGUUUACCACUCUGUCAUCCACGUCGUGGAUCAAUAUUUGUAGUCUCUUCUUAAACCCUCGCGUUACGUUCUCUCAUCACCCCGUCGCCCUCGGACCGUAAUCCUAGCGUGGUCGAUACUUCACAGAGCCGCCGUCCCUUCUCACGCUCUCAUAUUUCACCCUGAGGCGACGUUCAAUGCAGCUGAAGUGGCCAUUAAAUGCAGUGAAAUGAGAGCUGUUCUAAAGGGACCCUGGUGGUCGGAAACAAUACCGCGUGUGUCCACAGGGGGCGCCAGGCACAACCCCUGAUUGCAGGCAAACACCUAAAUGGGAAUCUUCUUCACGUUUUUGUGCAGGGUAAAAUAAAGUGUAAUUAUACUGCAAAUAUCAUGUGUAUUAUUUCCUUUUAGAGACAGCGUUCAUCAAACUUGCUGAAUGAGUAACCGAGAUAGCGGAACGUCUGAUGCGAUGUGCACAGAUGUGGACAGCGUCCCUCUCUUGUGUGGAAGUACUGACGUACCUGCUGUCUCUUCACCCAACCUCUGCUUGACAAGGAGGGGGGAAGCAAUUAACAUCGCUGUCACUAUCCAUCUAUUGUGCUCUUUCCUAAUGGAAGAUGACAAAUUAUGGAGUGCAAUGCAGGAGGCCGUGUCCCACCUCCUACUCCCUCGUGUGUGUGUGUGUGUGUGUGUGUGUGUGUGUGUGUGUGUAGGUGGAUGACAGCGACAGAGAGAGAGAGAUGGAGAGAAUGGGGAAAAGUAGUUUCCUCAUUCACCCUGAAAGGCUAGAACUCAGAAACUCGAGGAAGUGACUUGAAGGUGCGAAGGAGGGAAAGAGAAACACAUCUGCUUUGACCUCACGUGACUCCAGAUGUCACCGGAAUCCCAUUCGGUGACUUUACCUCAGACGUGGGCAUGACGGGGCAUUACUGUCCAAACGGACAGCUGGAGUGACGCCACUGUGAAGUCUCUUCAGAUUCAUGCUUUGCUGCCGGGACAUUUCCAACCGCUUGACCCACGAGAACUGAUAGUAAACACUUUAUUUUAGCGAUUGUUCAGACUUAGACGGCGGUUUGCGUCUCGCUGGAGUUGAAUGCGGCAUCACUUUUUGGUCCCAAGGACGGCAGUCGUUUUUUUUGCAGGAUUUUGUGCAACAUAAAACAAACAUGAAAUAAAGGAUCCAGAGCGACAGACUCAGCAGCUCGGCGCCGGUGCACAACACAUAAAGCCUGCGCUGUCAUCGCCGCCACAUACAAGCAUUAAGCACGACCAGAGACCCACAAGAAGAUCAAGUGUUAGCUGCAGCCAGCAGACACAAUCAGAGGCUGCGUUGAACCUCUCAACCGAGCAGCAGCUCCUGCUCACCAUUCGUCUCCUUCUAACGGAUGUACGGGUAGAUGCCUGGAGGUCGACUCGAUGCGCCGGGACGGAUCACGGCUGCUCCGCCCGAUGGAACAUCAUGUCCUCCAAUGACAGCCGGCCGAGGAGAGGGAUGGAGGGCCGUGUUACUGCAAAGACGUGGACGUGGUUCCCUCAGUCUGCUAAUCUCACUUGUUCCUGUGGCGGGCGGAGAAAGGAGGAAGGUCCUUUUCCAGCAUCAGGUCACAUUCCUUUUAAUGCUCAGCUUCUGAGCUAUCAGAUGUGUUAAGAGGCAGACAGAUAAAGUUGUGUUGUUGUUUCCGGCUUGUAGACUCUCAUUUCAUCUUUGCCACAAUAGUUAUAAAGCUCAAUGUCAUAACGUGUCCAUAUAAUAUAACGAAGCACGCUAAAGCUUUUGGAGCAAAGCUUCAGGCGAUAAGCUGAAAAUGAUCUGGAUCUGGAAGCAAAGGACCGUUUGCGUUAUUUUUGCUCUGCACACUUUGGCAUUUGCAGGUUUGCAGACAAAAGGCAGCUUCUCCCAGCGGAUCACAGCGACGGUGUUUGAAGGCUUUGUGUGAAGUAUUAUGACGGCAUUAUAUCUGCACAUUGAGGCCGCUAUAAUAAACCUGACAUUUUAAGCAAAGCCACUGAGGACUGAUGUUAUUAGAAAAAAGCUGCACAUUUAUUUUCACCCCUUUGUGAGUGAUAUUUAAAUACCUAGAAGAUAAUAAGAAUUAGUUAUUGCCUCAGUUUCUGGGAACCUUUGAUACAAGAAAAGAAGUCCUAGAAUGAAGCGUGUCCGUGAGUUUGCGCGCAUCAUUCUCGGUGGUUUGUAAGUUGUAGCAAUAACAAGUAAUUACCUGCCUCUCAAAAGACGUUCCUCUGACGGUGUGUGAGUGUGUGUGAGGGGGAAGACGAGUGGAGUGUGUAAUUACAGCUAAACAAAGCGAUGCUAAUAACCUCCUUUGUAUUUCUGUUACCCCUGAAAUAAUGUUCCCACCCGGCGUAUAAUUAGAAAUCAAUUAAAGUCCAUCUCCCACAUCUAACGAAAGUACAAAAGAAAAGUGUAUUGUCUCAGUGUUUCUCCCCAAAGGUCACAAUAUAAGGACAUGUGCAAGGACAGGGACCCGUGUGAAGUCAUUAUUUGAACACUAAAGUGUUUAUUUCUGGAUUAGUUGAUUGUAAAUCACAACCGGCGCCGUACUUCAUGACGCACGCUCAAUGCCGGCAUUAGUCGUGCGUCCCGUGCGUUGCACAAUAAUGCCGAUUGAUCGUGUAGCACUUGAUCUUAACGCACGAGAUGAGAAGAUGUGAAACGGAGCAGCUUCUAACGCUCAUCUUGUGUGGGACUCGGUUCCCAUUUACUGAAAAGAGAGAAGAUCAUUGUAACGUCUGUAUAACACAUGUAAGUGGAAACAGAGCUCAUGUUACGUUAAUACUGAGACACGAGAGAAUUUGUGCCGAUUUUGUGCUCUGUGUGUGUGUGUGUGUGUGUGUGUGCAGGCAUGUCCUGAUAUGAAUAAUGUGUGUGUGUGUGUGUUUGGUUUUAUUCAUUUCAACCCUCGAAUUAAACAACAGCUGCCCGAUAGAAAUGCAAAUGAGUGAGAGGGACGUCCUCGCAGGCUUCCUUCCUCGCGCCCUGAGCUUCCUGUAAUGGUCGUUUGUGAGAGCGCCGCUCGUAAUUUGCCCCUCGGGCCUCUUGGGGAGUCGCUCACUCUCUCUGCAUUGAACACUUUUAGCCUCAAAGUUUGCCGCCGACUGGCUUCCCCGUGAAGGUUCGAACCAAAGACGAAGGAUUUCAUACGUAGGCGUCAUCGUUAGCUCACAACGGAAGAAAGAAAUGGAUUUAAUCCGUUUAAAUCUGCGAUCUACUAAAUAGUUUGAAAAAAUUAGAUCUGAUGAAGCCAAACCAGGUGGGACCUUAAAGGAACAUGUGACUCUGUCCUCUGUGGACAGGUGGGACUUUAAAGGAACAUGUGACUCUGUCCUCUGUGGACAGGUGGGACUUUAAAGGAACAUGUGACUCUGUCCUCUAUGGACAGGUGGGACUUGGUGUGCGGUGCUCAAGCAACAGGCCGUAAUACCUC